UCAACCCUACGCGCCGCGAUCUUUUCACCACGGCCUGAUGGCCCGUAAACACCCCCAUGGCUUCGGCCAGUGGGGGCUGUUUUUCAGCAGGCAUUGAACGCAGUGUCUGCCGAAAAACAGUUUUUCAUCCUCCGCCGUAAUGGCCUUGGAUAAAAAAAGGUAGCUCGCCUUCCCCAAGCA
Molecule: unclassified non-coding RNA, 180 nt
Filed under: uncultured fungus
Lineage: Eukaryota; Fungi
Description: sequence contains ITS1
Source: RNAcentral